Molecule: ribosomal RNA, 453 nt
Filed under: uncultured Thauera sp.
Lineage: Bacteria; Pseudomonadati; Pseudomonadota; Betaproteobacteria; Rhodocyclales; Zoogloeaceae
Description: bacterial SSU rRNA
Rfam family: Bacterial small subunit ribosomal RNA
Source: RNAcentral
ACAAGCGGUGGAUGAUGUGAUUAAUUCGAUGCAACGCGAAAACCUUACCUACCCUUGACAUGUCUGGAAUCUUGGUGAGAGCCGAGGGUGCCUUCGGGAGCCAGAACACAGGUGCUGCAUGGCUGUCGUCAGCUCGUGUCGUGAGAUGUUGGGUUAAGUCCCGCAACGAGCGCAACCCUUGUCACUAGUUGCCAUCAUUUGGUUGGGCACUCUAGUGAGACUGCCGGUGACAAACCGGAGGAAGGUGGGGAUGACGUCAAGUCCUCAUGGCCCUUAUGGUAGGGCUUCACACGUCAUACAAUGGUCGGUACAGAGGGUUGCCACUUAGCGAUAAGGAGCCAAUCCCGUAAAGCCGGUCUCAGUCCGGAUUGGAGUCUGCAACUCGACUCCAUGAAGUUGGAAUCGCUAGUAAUCGCAGAUCAGCACGCUGCGGUGAAUACGUUCCCGGGCCUU